Molecule: ribosomal RNA, 253 nt
Filed under: uncultured bacterium
Lineage: Bacteria
Description: partial 16S ribosomal RNA
Rfam family: Bacterial small subunit ribosomal RNA
Source: RNAcentral
UACGAAGGGGGCGAGCGUUGUUCGGAAUUACUGGGCGUAAAGGGCGCGCAGGCGGCUCAGACAGUCAGAAGUGAAAGCCCCGGGCUUAACCUGGGAACUGCAUUUGAUACUACUGAGCUUGAGUACGGGAGAGGAUAGUGGAAUUCCCAGUGUAGAGGUGAAAUUCGUAGAUAUUGGGAAGAACACCGGUGGCGAAGGCGGCUAUCUGGACCGUAACUGACGCUGAGGCGCGAAAGCGUGGGGAGCAAACAGG